CGUCAGCUCGUGUCGUGAGAUGUUGGGUUAAGUCCCGCAACGAGCGCAACCCUUAUUCUUAGUAGCCAGCAGGUAAAGCUGGGCACUCUAAGGAGACUGCCAGGGAUAACCUGGAGGAAGGUGGGGAUGACGUCAAAUCAUCAUGCCCCUUAUGAUUUGGGCUACACACGUGCUACAAUGGCGUAAACAAAGGGAGGCGAAGCCGCGAGGCCGAGCGAACCUCAAAAAUAACGUCUCAGUUCGGAUUGCAGGCUGCAACCCGCCUGCAUGAAGCCGGAAUCGCUAGUAAUCGCGGAUCAGAAUGCCGCGGUGAAUACGUUCCCGGGUCUUGUACACACCGCCCGUCACACCAUGGGAGUCGAUAACGCCCGAAGUCAGUGACCCAACCGAAAGGAGGGAGCUGCCGAAGGCGGGAUGGAUAACUGGGGUGAAGUCGUAACAAGGUAGCCGUAUCGGAAGGUGCGGUUGGAUCACCUC
This 477-nucleotide ribosomal RNA is filed under the name uncultured bacterium. RNAcentral's name for it is "bacterial SSU rRNA". It matches the Rfam family "Bacterial small subunit ribosomal RNA", at positions 1053 to 1529 of the family's 1533-position model. The record is from RNAcentral.